This is a long non-coding RNA of Ictalurus punctatus (channel catfish), 1292 nucleotides long. The record is from Ensembl. Lineage: Eukaryota; Metazoa; Chordata; Actinopteri; Siluriformes; Ictaluridae.
GGAAAGCGGAGCGACGUCCUCGGUGGAGCAGGAACACGGAGCGACGUCCUCAUCGGAACAGGAAUGUGGAGCGACGUCCUCAGUGGAGCAGGAAAGCAGAGCAAUGUCCUCAUCGGAACAGGAACGCAGAGUGACAUUCUCAGCGGAACAGGAUUUCUUUUUUUCAGAUCCUCAGAGAGUUCUUUGCCAUGAGGUCAAGCUGGAUAGUCGACAGCACAUCCCCGAGAGUCUCCUGGAGCUCCUUUUUAAAAAUAUUGAUGAUGUCUUCCUUCAGCGAAGCCAGCAACUCAAGCUCUGAAGUCAGAGUCACCGCGCAGUGAUGCGGAUUCAGGGGAAGAAGGGGACUCGCUUUCGGUGCGCACAGUAGGCCUCUGUUGUGUCUGAAUAGUACUAAGGGCUUUUGUGUUUUUUCCAGACAUUUUAAUGUGCCACAAAGUUAAAAGUGCAAACAAAAAAUGGAGUAGAAUAAGUCAAAAUCUAUUGUGUGACCGAAAAGUGCAAUUACAAUUUUAAUCGAAAUCGGCAGGAGCCUCCAACUUCGUGUCCUACUCCAUUGGCAACUCAGCAGCGCCCCCUAAUCCAUAGUUAAUAUGAUGAACUACAUUCACUGAUGCUCAAGAAGGUGACACAAUACAAUAAGAACCGGGGGUGGGAUGGGGGUGGUAUGUAAAUUUAUGAACAGGAUGAAAUUAACAGGUGUAAAUUGUUAUUCUGUCUUCUGUGACACAUGUAAGUAUCUUAUUUAGCUUCUAAAGGGCAAUACUAAAAAAAUACCUUUAAACAAACUAAUAACAAUUUACACUGAUAAUCCUAUUAAAAAAUGUACACCACCCUGGAAUUUAAUGUAUUGUGUUACCUUUUUGAACAUCAGUGAAUGUGUGCACCUUAUGUAAUAGUCGUGUACGAGUCCCUCGGCUGUCCUCCGUGUGAAAAGAUGGAUCUCAUAUUAUAGUUACUGUUGGAAAGGGGUCAAAUAUACAGAAGAUGCAGGAAAAGUAAAGAAUGUGCAGGACCUGGAGGAUUUUUCUGAAGAACAGUGGGCAGUUUAACUGCUCAGGACAAACAAGGGACUCAUGAACAACCAUCACAACACAUAAAAAGAGUCGUGGAUCAUCCAGCUUUCAGACCUCCACGGGCUACAGAUGAGGAAAAGGCCGUGUGACGCAAAGCAGGCUGCACGGUUGUUGACGGAGUUUGGCGAUGCCCCCAUUGCUGUCCUUGUCUUCAAAGUUGACGCAUGGCAGGCACCAUGCGUCAAAAGGGGGAAUGAUAGCUGCGAAAAGCAUUGGUUU